RNAcentral lists this ribosomal RNA (2781 nucleotides) under Escherichia coli. RNAcentral describes it as "bacterial LSU rRNA". It matches the Rfam family "Bacterial large subunit ribosomal RNA". Lineage: Bacteria; Pseudomonadati; Pseudomonadota; Gammaproteobacteria; Enterobacterales; Enterobacteriaceae. The record is from RNAcentral.
CACACUAUCAUUAACUGAAUCCAUAGGUUAAUGAGGCGAACCGGGGGAACUGAAACAUCUAAGUACCCCGAGGAAAAGAAAUCAACCGAGAUUCCCCCAGUAGCGGCGAGCGAACGGGGAGGAGCCCAGAGCCUGAAUCAGUGUGUGUGUUAGUGGAAGCGUCUGGAAAGGCGCGCGAUACAGGGUGACAGCCCCGUACACAAAAAUGCACAUGCUGUGAGCUCGAUGAGUAGGGCGGGACACGUGGUAUCCUGUCUGAAUAUGGGGGGACCAUCCUCCAAGGCUAAAUACUCCUGACUGACCGAUAGUGAACCAGUACCGUGAGGGAAAGGCGAAAAGAACCCCGGCGAGGGGAGUGAAAAAGAACCUGAAACCGUGUACGUACAAGCAGUGGGAGCACAGAGCAAUCUGUGUGACUGCGUACCUUUUGUAUAAUGGGUCAGCGACUUAUAUUCUGUAGCAAGGUUAACCGAAUAGGGGAGCCGAAGGGAAACCGAGUCUUAACUGGGCGUUAAGUUGCAGGGUAUAGACCCGAAACCCGGUGAUCUAGCCAUGGGCAGGUUGAAGGUUGGGUAACACUAACUGGAGGACCGAACCGACUAAUGUUGAAAAAUUAGCGGAUGACUUGUGGCUGGGGGUGAAAGGCCAAUCAAACCGGGAGAUAGCUGGUUCUCCCCGAAAGCUAUUUAGGUAGCGCCUCGUGAAUUCAUCUCCGGGGGUAGAGCACUGUUUCGGCAAGGGGGUCAUCCCGACUUACCAACCCGAUGCAAACUGCGAAUACCGGAGAAUGUUAUCACGGGAGACACACGGCGGGUGCUAACGUCCGUCGUGAAGAGGGAAACAACCCAGACCGCCAGCUAAGGUCCCAAAGUCAUGGUUAAGUGGGAAACGAUGUGGGAAGGCCCAGACAGCCAGGAUGUUGGCUUAGAAGCAGCCAUCAUUUAAAGAAAGCGUAAUAGCUCACUGGUCGAGUCGGCCUGCGCGGAAGAUGUAACGGGGCUAAACCAUGCACCGAAGCUGCGGCAGCGACACUGUGUGUUGUUGGGUAGGGGAGCGUUCUGUAAGCCUGUGAAGGUGUGCUGUGAGGCAUGCUGGAGGUAUCAGAAGUGCGAAUGCUGACAUAAGUAACGAUAAAGCGGGUGAAAAGCCCGCUCGCCGGAAGACCAAGGGUUCCUGUCCAACGUUAAUCGGGGCAGGGUGAGUCGACCCCUAAGGCGAGGCCGAAAGGCGUAGUCGAUGGGAAACAGGUUAAUAUUCCUGUACUUGGUGUUACUGCGAAGGGGGGACGGAGAAGGCUAUGUUGGCCGGGCGACGGUUGUCCCGGUUUAAGCGUGUAGGCUGGUUUUCCAGGCAAAUCCGGAAAAUCAAGGCUGAGGCGUGAUGACGAGGCACUACGGUGCUGAAGCAACAAAUGCCCUGCUUCCAGGAAAAGCCUCUAAGCAUCAGGUAACAUCAAAUCGUACCCCAAACCGACACAGGUGGUCAGGUAGAGAAUACCAAGGCGCUUGAGAGAACUCGGGUGAAGGAACUAGGCAAAAUGGUGCCGUAACUUCGGGAGAAGGCACGCUGAUAUGUAGGUGAAGUCCCUCGCGGAUGGAGCUGAAAUCAGUCGAAGAUACCAGCUGGCUGCAACUGUUUAUUAAAAACACAGCACUGUGCAAACACGAAAGUGGACGUAUACGGUGUGACGCCUGCCCGGUGCCGGAAGGUUAAUUGAUGGGGUCAGCGCAAGCGAAGCUCUUGAUCGAAGCCCCGGUAAACGGCGGCCGUAACUAUAACGGUCCUAAGGUAGCGAAAUUCCUUGUCGGGUAAGUUCCGACCUGCACGAAUGGCGUAAUGAUGGCCAGGCUGUCUCCACCCGAGACUCAGUGAAAUUGAACUCGCUGUGAAGAUGCAGUGUACCCGCGGCAAGACGGAAAGACCCCGUGAACCUUUACUAUAGCUUGACACUGAACAUUGAGCCUUGAUGUGUAGGAUAGGUGGGAGGCUUUGAAGUGUGGACGCCAGUCUGCAUGGAGCCGACCUUGAAAUACCACCCUUUAAUGUUUGAUGUUCUAACGUGGACCCGUGAUCCGGGUUGCGGACAGUGUCUGGUGGGUAGUUUGACUGGGGCGGUCUCCUCCUAAAGAGUAACGGAGGAGCACGAAGGUUGGCUAAUCCUGGUCGGACAUCAGGAGGUUAGUGCAAUGGCAUAAGCCAGCUUGACUGCGAGCGUGACGGCGCGAGCAGGUGCGAAAGCAGGUCAUAGUGAUCCGGUGGUUCUGAAUGGAAGGGCCAUCGCUCAACGGAUAAAAGGUACUCCGGGGAUAACAGGCUGAUACCGCCCAAGAGUUCAUAUCGACGGCGGUGUUUGGCACCUCGAUGUCGGCUCAUCACAUCCUGGGGCUGAAGUAGGUCCCAAGGGUAUGGCUGUUCGCCAUUUAAAGUGGUACGCGAGCUGGGUUUAGAACGUCGUGAGACAGUUCGGUCCCUAUCUGCCGUGGGCGCUGGAGAACUGAGGGGGGCUGCUCCUAGUACGAGAGGACCGGAGUGGACGCAUCACUGGUGUUCGGGUUGUCAUGCCAAUGGCACUGCCCGGUAGCUAAAUGCGGAAGAGAUAAGUGCUGAAAGCAUCUAAGCACGAAACUUGCCCCGAGAUGAGUUCUCCCUGACCCUUUAAGGGUCCUGAAGGAACGUUGAAGACGACGACGUUGAUAGGCCGGGUGUGUAAGCGCAGCGAUGCGUUGAGCUAACCGGUACUAAUGAACCGUGAGGCUUAACCUUACAACGCCGAAGGUGUUU